RNAcentral lists this ribosomal RNA (466 nucleotides) under uncultured bacterium. RNAcentral's name for it is "partial 16S ribosomal RNA". It matches the Rfam family "Bacterial small subunit ribosomal RNA", at positions 28 to 507 of the family's 1533-position model. The record is from RNAcentral.
GAUGAACGCUGGCGGCGUGCUUAACACAUGCAAGUCGAACGAUGAAGCCCAGCUUGCUGGGUGGAUUAGUGGCGAACGGGUGAGUAACACGUGAGUAACCUGCCCUUGACUCUGGGAUAAGCCUGGGUAACUGGGUCUAAUACUGGAUAUGACUUCUCAUCGCAUGGUGGGGGGUGGAAAGAUUUAUUGGUCUUGGAUGGACUCGCGGCCUAUCAGCUUGUUGGUGAGGUAAUGGCUCACCAAGGCGACGACGGGUAGCCGGCCUGAGAGGGUGACCGGCCACACUGGGACUGAGACACGGCCCAGACUCCUACGGGAGGCAGCAGUGGGGAAUAUUGCACAAUGGGCGCAAGCCUGAUGCAGCGACGCCGCGUGAGGGAUGACGGCCUUCGGGUUGUAAACCUCUUUCAGUAGGGAAGAAGCGAGAGUGACGGUACCUGCAGAAGAAGCGCCGGCUAACUACGUG